RNAcentral lists this long non-coding RNA (231 nucleotides) under Lathyrus oleraceus (garden pea). RNAcentral describes it as "Pisum sativum (pea) long non-coding RNA (PSAT_LNC032775)". Lineage: Eukaryota; Viridiplantae; Streptophyta; Magnoliopsida; Fabales; Fabaceae. The record is from RNAcentral.
UCUGACCCUUAUGUCGGUCUUCAGAUCACAUGUCUCAUUGAGCUUGUUACCCAGUAACCGGUAACACCUCAUCUCGCUGCUUCCCCAAGAGAGUCUUUUUAGACAUCCCCAGCAAGGUCCCUUAGUGGAUCGUCCUCGUCCGGAUUUUAUCCAAAGUAUCCGUUGUGGAUAGUUUCGCUGUAUUGGCAUAUUCCCCAAUACAUGCAUCUUUGAGUCAGUUCGAGUCUUUCC